GGUUAAGCGACUAAGCGUACACGGUGGAUGCCCUGGCAGUCAGAGGCGAUGAAGGACGUGCUAAUCUGCGAUAAGCGUCGGUAAGGUGAUAUGAACCGUUAUAACCGGCGAUUUCCGAAUGGGGAAACCCAGUGUGUUUCGACACACUAUCAUUAACUGAAUCCAUAGGUUAAUGAGGCGAACCGGGGGAACUGAAACAUCUAAGUACCCCGAGGAAAAGAAAUCAACCGAGAUUCCCCCAGUAGCGGCGAGCGAACGGGGAGCAGCCCAGAGCCUGAAUCAGUGUGUGUGUUAGUGGAAGCGUCUGGAAAGGCGCGCGAUACAGGGUGACAGCCCCGUACACAAAAAUGCACAUACUGUGAGCUCGAUGAGUAGGGCGGGACACGUGGUAUCCUGUCUGAAUAUGGGGGGACCAUCCUCCAAGGCUAAAUACUCCUGACUGACCGAUAGUGAACCAGUACCGUGAGG
Molecule: ribosomal RNA, 468 nt
Filed under: Escherichia coli
Lineage: Bacteria; Pseudomonadati; Pseudomonadota; Gammaproteobacteria; Enterobacterales; Enterobacteriaceae
Description: partial 23S ribosomal RNA
Rfam family: Bacterial large subunit ribosomal RNA
Source: RNAcentral